UUAAUAUAGAUAUGAAUGAUAAUAUUUCAAAUGUACAAUGUCCGCUCCAUAAUGAUUACUCUUUAUUAGGCCAAAACAUCAAUUGGUAUUUGAUAUAAGCGGGGAUCAAACCCCAGAUCUUUCAUUCAAUGACAAGAAAUUUUCCUAAUUGAACUAACUAAAACCCACUAUUUGACAUAUUUACAAUUAGAGCUACAGAACUAAUAUUGGUACAAUUAUAUUGUACUCUUCUGGAGAAGAUUCAAAGAGAUUUUUUGUGGGAAAGCUUUCAAGGAGAGCAUAAAAUUCAUCUGGUUAAUUGGUCCAUCGUUUGUUGACCAAUUUGACAAGGAGGUUUGGGUGUGAGGAAGUUGUUGUAUUUCAAUUAUGCUCUGUUACGUAAGUGACUAGCGAUAUGGGUUGGAUAGGGAUUCUUUAUGGAGGAAGGUUAUUGAUUGCAAAUAUGGUACAAACAAUAGUGCGCGGUACUCUGGUGAGGUAAUGGUGGGGCUUUGGAAACAUAACAGAUUGGGUGGGACCACUUUGCAUGGUUGCAUCUUCCAUUCGGUUUGAGGCAGGAUGUGGUUCUCAAAUUCAGUUUUAGAAACAAUUUUGGGAUGGAAGUGGUACUUUUCAAGACCACUAUCUGGAAUUAUUCAAUUUGUUAGAGAUCAAGAUGGUCAGCUGUCAGACUAUAUGGAGUGGGUGAAUGGUAGGUUACAUUGGAAACCGGUGUUUAUCAGAGAGGCACAAAAUUGGGAGUUGGAGUCAAUGGCUCACCCAAAGAAGGAUUUACAUCUAGGAGCUACUAUAGGGUGCUGCAAGCAAGCGUUGAGGUUACUUCCCUGUUUCCUUGGAAGUGUGUAUGAAAGUCUCUUUCCCCUCCUAGAGUUUCUUUUUAUGUUUGGGAGGUCACCCUAGGCAAAAUUUUGAUGACAGACAACCUGCGGAGGAGGGGUUUCCUUUUGGCAGAUUGG
Long non-coding RNA from Quercus robur (English oak), 956 nucleotides. RefSeq lists it as uncharacterized. The record is from RefSeq and is a predicted model, not a curated record. The transcript is spliced from 3 exons. Lineage: Eukaryota; Viridiplantae; Streptophyta; Magnoliopsida; Fagales; Fagaceae.